Molecule: long non-coding RNA, 946 nt
Organism: Populus nigra (black poplar)
Lineage: Eukaryota; Viridiplantae; Streptophyta; Magnoliopsida; Malpighiales; Salicaceae
Exons: 3
Source: RefSeq, a predicted model, not a curated record
AGUCGCCACCCCACCCGUGACCGACACUCCAGUGACUCCACCCUUCGUCCCUUUCCCCUUUUUCCUUUCCCCUUUCCCCUUUCCCCAGCAGAUUAAGAAAUCACUUUCCCUAGAUCCGGAGCGUUCUUGGCGAGAUGAAGAUAAGAAUUUAUUUCCAAUCCCAAGCUUUCUUGGCGACUCUAUCCUCUUGUUGCUGAAGUUCAUCUUGUUGUUGGGCAAAAGCAGAGUGAAGCAAAGGAGGGUUUGAAUUGGGAUUGUGCAAGUUGAGUAAGGAAGCCAGUACUACAACGCUGAACCAAAGGCUAUGGUUCUUCGUCUUCCAAGAACUAGGCUCUUAUUAUAUGAAGAAGAAACGAUCAUCAUUUGGAGUGGAGAGAUAGCUGAGGGAGCAUGAAUUGAACCCAACACCACCACGGUCUUGAACUCCAUCAACUCAGAGCUCGAGACCGACUCAGACACGCCUGUCUCUUACAAGGCUUUGAUGGUGGUGUUGUCAACUUCUUUGUCCAAGGUUCCUCCGAUCCUUACCUCGUCGAAUUGAUACUGGAAGUGAUAUCUUGUGGGUCUGCUACAAUUCCUGCAACAACUGCCCGCGUACCAGUGGCCUUGGAAUUCAGCUCAAUUUCUUUGAUUCCAGCAACUCAUCAACUGUUGGGCGAGUCCGCUGUUCAGAUCCAAUCUGCACUUCAGCGGUUCAAACCACAGCAACCCAAUGCUCUUCUCAGACUGAUCAGUGCAGUUAUUUUAGCUGUUGCUUGCAUUGUGAUGUUGUUGGCAGCCCCAACAUUUAUUUAAUUUCUUAUCCUUGCACAAUUAGCAUUCUGAUAAAUUUAUGUUUAAGUGUAUUGAACUGCAGGAUAUAACAUGCAUAUUUAACAUGCAUGCUCUCCAUUUAUUGAAUUGUGAUUUUAUGAUUUUUAAUUAAAAAAUUUUAUUUAUAAUUUUA